CCUACGGGAGGCAGCAGUGGGGAAUUUUGCGCAAUGCUCGUAAGAGUGACGCAGCGACGCCGCGUGAAUGACGAAGGCCUUCGGGUCGUAAAGUUCUUUCGACGGGGAAGAAAAUGCCUAUAAGUAACUGUGUAUGUAUUGACGGUACCUGUAUAAGCAGCCCCGGCUAACUCCGUGCCAGCAGCCGCGGUAAUACGGAGGGGGCGAGCGUUGUUCGGAGGGACUGGGCGUAAAGAGCACGUAGGCGGUGUUGUAAGUCAUUAGUCAAAGACUAGAGCUCAACUUUAGUAAGGCUAGUGAUACUAUAAUACUAGAGUAUCAGAGAGGAUUGCAGAAUUCCUGGUGUAGCGGUGAAAUGCGUAGAUAUCAGGAGGAAUACCGUUAGCGAAGGCGGCAAUCUGGCUGGAAACUGACGCUGAGGUGCGAAAGCGUGGGUAGCAAACAGGAUUAGAUACCCCUGUAGUC
RNAcentral lists this ribosomal RNA (465 nucleotides) under uncultured bacterium. RNAcentral's name for it is "partial 16S ribosomal RNA". It matches the Rfam family "Bacterial small subunit ribosomal RNA", at positions 338 to 795 of the family's 1533-position model. The record is from RNAcentral.